CGUAAAGAGCUCGUAGGUGGUUUGUCGCGUUGUUCGUGAAAACUCACAGCUUAACUGUGGGCGUGCGGGCGAUACGGGCAGACUAGAGUACUGCAGGGGAGACUGGAAUUCCUGGUGUAGCGGUGGAAUGCGCAGAUAUCAGGAGGAACACCGGUGGCGAAGGCGGGUCUCUGGGCAGUAACUGACGCUGAGGAGCGAAAGCGUGGGGAGCGAACAGGAUUAGAUACCCUGGUAGUCCACGCCGUAAACGGUGGGUACUAGGUGUGGGUUCCUUCCUUGGGAUCCGUGCCGUAGCUAACGCAUUAAGUACCCCGCCUGGGGAGUACGGCCGCAAGGCUAGAACUCAAAGGAAUUGACGGGGGCCCGCACAAGCGGCGGAGCAUGUGGAUUAGUUCGAUGCAACGCGGAGAACCUUACCUGGGUUUGACAUGCACAGGACGCUGGUAGAGAUAUCAGUUCCCUUGUGGCCUGUGUGCAGGUGGUCGAUGGCUGUCGUCAGCUCGUGUCGUGAGAUGUUGGGUUAAGUCCCGCAACGAGCGCAACCCCUAUCUUAUGUUGCCAGCGCGUUAUGGCGGGGACUCGUAAGAGACUGCCGGGGUCAACUCGGAGGAAGGUGGGGAUGACGUCAAGUCAUCAUGCCCCUUAUGUCCAGGGCUUCACACAUGCUACAAUGGCCGGUACAAAGGGCUGCGAAUCCGCGAGGUGGAGCGAAUCCCUUGAAAGCCGGUCUCAGUUCGGAUCGGGGUCUGCAACUCGACCCCGUGAAGUUGGAGUCGCUA
This 779-nucleotide ribosomal RNA is filed under the name uncultured Mycobacterium sp. RNAcentral describes it as "bacterial SSU rRNA". It matches the Rfam family "Bacterial small subunit ribosomal RNA", at positions 559 to 1337 of the family's 1533-position model. Lineage: Bacteria; Bacillati; Actinomycetota; Actinomycetes; Mycobacteriales; Mycobacteriaceae. The record is from RNAcentral.